This 330-nucleotide ribosomal RNA is filed under the name uncultured eukaryote. RNAcentral describes it as "partial 18S ribosomal RNA". It matches the Rfam family "Eukaryotic small subunit ribosomal RNA", at positions 1470 to 1796 of the family's 1831-position model. The record is from RNAcentral.
CCCUUAGAUGUUCGGGGCCGCACGCGCGCUACACUGAAGGAAUCAGCACGUCUUUCUCCUUGUCCGAAAGGACUGGGUAACCCGCUGAACCUCCUUCGUGCUAGGGAUUGGGGCUUGUAAUUCUUCCCCAUGAACGAGGAAUUCCCAGUAAGCGCGAGUCAUAAGCUCGCGUUGAUUACGUCCCUGCCCUUUGUACACACCGCCCGUCGCUACUACCGAUUGGAUGGUUUAGUGAGAUCCUCGGAUUGGUCCCGGAGCGGCCUCUGGUCGUGCCGGAGUGCCGAAAAGAAUGUCGAACUUGAUCAUCUAGAGGAAGUAAAAGUUGUAACA